GCCCGCCUAGCUCAAUCGGAUAGAGCGUCAGACUCUUAGGCAGGUUGAUCUGAAGGCUGCGAGUUCGACCCUCGCGGUGGGCU
This 83-nucleotide transfer RNA is filed under the name Termitomyces sp. J132. It matches the Rfam family "tRNA". Rfam says of the family: Transfer RNA (tRNA) molecules are approximately 80 nucleotides in length. Their secondary structure includes four short double-helical elements and three loops (D, anti-codon, and T loops). Further hydrogen bonds mediate the characteristic L-shaped molecular structure. tRNAs have two regions of fundamental functional importance: the anti-codon, which is responsible for specific mRNA codon recognition, and the 3' end, to which the tRNAs corresponding amino acid is attached (by aminoacyl-tRNA synthetases). tRNAs cope with the degeneracy of the genetic code in two manners: having more than one tRNA (with a specific anti-codon) for a particular amino acid; and 'wobble' base-pairing, i.e. permitting non-standard base-pairing at the 3rd anti-codon position. Lineage: Eukaryota; Fungi; Basidiomycota; Agaricomycetes; Agaricales; Lyophyllaceae. The record is from Rfam by way of RNAcentral. RNAcentral also lists the same sequence under 2 other names.